Molecule: ribosomal RNA, 238 nt
Filed under: uncultured bacterium
Lineage: Bacteria
Description: partial 16S ribosomal RNA
Rfam family: Bacterial small subunit ribosomal RNA
Source: RNAcentral
UACGGGGGGGGUAAGCGUUGUUCGGAAUUACUGGGCGUAAAGGGCUCGUAGGCGGCCAACUAAGUCAGACGUGAAAUCCCUCAGCUUAACUGGGGAACUGCGUCUGAUACUGGAUGGCUUGGAUUCGGGAGAGGAAUGCGGAAUUUACGGUGUAGCGGUGAAAUGCGUAGAUAUCGUAAGGAAGACCAGUGGCGAAGGCGGGUCUCUGGACAGUUCCUGACGCUGAGGCACGAAGGUC